CGCCCGCGCUGCAGUCGGGACCGGCUUCAGCUUUAGAGAAGGAACGAGGCGCCAGCACUGGAGCGACAUCAUGCUGCAGGAGGCUACAGAUGAGGGGAGGCGGGCUCCACACUGAACCCCUCAGCCCGAGGCUUGGCCCAGCGGGAGCGCAGGGUGCUGGCCGGCUUCCCUGGGGCGGGGGCAGCGCAGUGACCUUCACCGCACUCACGGAUCGCGGGGAGCAGCUCAGAGACAGCCGCCCUCCAUCUGCCGUGAGGGCUCUGCCGUCCCCAUUUCCCAGAGGAAGAGACUGAGACACCGGGUCAAACCACUGAGCCACGGCCGCAGAGCCCACAUCCGUCUCCAGAUGCCAGCAGUGAGUCUGGGAACCCUGGACACGAAGGUCGAGGAACACAGCACCUGGGGCUUCCUGGAGGGACUGAGUUGGCUUAAAGGAAGCACAGCUUCGGCCGGUAGAAGGAGGGAGAGAGAAACGGUGAAGCACCGGGGGGCCCCACAGCGGGGGCCGCCAGGCAGAGGGCAAGGAAAGCUCAGGAGAAGACGCUGGAGGGAGGGGCCGUCAGCUCGGCGACCCGCGCAUCGGUCCAGCCAAACCUCGGCUCUCAAAACUCCCGCUCCUCUCCCCCCUGCCCGCCCCGAGCCGCCUGGGGCAUCUCAGCCUCCCGCGGCGGCCUGUGCCCAGCUGCAGCUCCGUACGCAGGCCUGUGGCCACGUGGCUGGCGCUGGCUGCCUGAGGCUGAGGCGGCUUUAGCCUGUCUCCCGGCCCAGCUGGGCUCCGCACAGUCCUGGCCACCGCCCUGCCCUUCCCUAGCACCAGGCUGCCCGUCCCAGGGUCGAGCAGGGACGAGAUUGGGAGCCCGCCCUACAGGUGGCCACGCCCUCCCGAGACUGGGGCUCGAGGCUGUCUGUGCAGAGAGGGAGGGUGACAGUCACCGAGAGCGCAGAGAGAGGGCCUAAGACCCGCGCCUCGAACCGACAACAAACGCAGAUUUUAAGUACACAAAUUAAAUUUGAUGCAAACGUUGCAGCAUUUCAUUCUGAGUGCUGCACAGGAUUGUAAGGCAAAUCAUGGUACAAACCACCGUGCCCUGCGCCCCCGGGGGGGGGUCUCUGAGCCGAGUCCUUGCCCUUGGCACAGCGCGCCUCCGCCUCUGCGCCCGCAUCAUCCUACUCUACUUCCCAGUCCCUCACUCUGCUCCCCAAAUUCUGGCCCAGCUUCCAGACCAUGUCUGCCUAGGGGCCUCAGGGGAAAGCAGCUCCUUAGCGAGCCAGUGUCUCGGCUGGGGCUGGAGACACCCGUGGUGAGGACACUGGGGAGGAAACGCCCAGUGAGGGUGGCAGGUGGUCCAUCCAGACCUGCAGAAAGGGCGGGCAAAGGGGGCUCACCUGCAAGGACCGGGCUGGAUGUCGGCCGCACCCUGGGUCUCUGGGGACCUGGGCUCUUCUCCCGCCUCCCACGGGACUUCCAGCCACUGUCCCGCAUGCGCUCUCCUUCUCAGCAGAGGGACGCUGGGCCCGGUCCCCUGGACCCGUCUUAUGUAGCACUCCUGGGUUCUGCUCAGUGGGGACCCUUGAGGGAGGCCCUUUCCCGCUUGCCGUCCCUGUUCCCCACACAGGACCUGCCCUCCUCCAGGCUCCUCUUUUGAGAGUCAGUCACCCCCGUGGGGACUCUGGUCACAGGCGAAUUCUGCACAGAACACAGCCAUGCUUGGGAAGACAGUCGCGGGGUGGCCCGGGGCUCAUUUCCUCGGCUCCAGGGUCUUCACCUUAAAGCAGAUGUGACCACAGCCUCUGCUUGAAGGACAGCAAAUCAGACCAUAGGAGAACACGUUCGGGUGGUGGACCAGGGCCUCCUGCUGCCAACUCACAGGAGGGCCCACUCUUAACACAGUUCCUUUUGCAUGAUGAGCGCUCAACCACCAUGACCCACACCCACAUGCACCACCUGGGCGCCUGGGCACUGAACAAGGUUCAAAUCCUCACAUCCAGUCAGUGUAGGAUUCACAAAUGCCGCUUACGAGACAGGAAAGUGGGGGGUGCAGAGCUGGCUGGGGACAUAGAGUGACCUGCUAAUCACAGAUCCCAGGCACAUGCGCAGAGCAGUUCCCAAAGCCCUGCCUGAGACUUCCGGAGAACUGGAGCAGGUUUUCCAUAGGAUGCCUGACCUGCCUCACCUCGAGGCCUGGGAUCCCAGCACCACCCCCCGGGACCCGGAUGUGGAAGUUCUCACAGGUUUCCUAGAGAUUAGAACAGCAUCAAAGGAUACAGAGGCCAAGAGGGGAUCGCUGUCCUGGCUUUCCUCACGCAUAGGCCGCCCUGUGUCCUCUGGGGUGUUCUUUGAUCUCGCUUUUUCCUUUUACUCAGCCCAAGCUCACUCUGCAGAGCCAGUUUCU
RNAcentral lists this long non-coding RNA (2393 nucleotides) under Heterocephalus glaber (naked mole-rat). RNAcentral's name for it is "lncRNA (ENSHGLG00000045389.1)". Lineage: Eukaryota; Metazoa; Chordata; Mammalia; Rodentia; Bathyergidae. The record is from RNAcentral.